CCUACGGGUGGCAGCAGUGAGGAAUAUUGGUCAAUGGGCGUAAGCCUGAACCAGCCAAGUCGCGUGAGGGAUGAAGGUUCUAUGGAUCGUAAACCUCUUUUAUAAGGGAAUAAAGAGCGGGACGGGUCCCGUUUUGUAUGUACCUUAUGAAUAAGGAUCGGCUAACUCCGUGCCAGCAGCCGCGGUAAUACGGAGGAUUCGAGCGUUAUCCGGAUUUAUUGGGUUUAAAGGGUGCGGAGGCGGCCUUUUAAGUCAGCGGGCAAAGUCCGGGGCUCAACCCGGGAAUCGCCGUUGAACCUGGCAGGCUUGAGUAUGUUUGAAGCAUGCGGAAUGCGUGGUGUAGCGGUGAAAUGCUUAGAUGUCACGCAGAACUCCGAUUGCGAAGGCAGCCUGCC
This 395-nucleotide ribosomal RNA is filed under the name uncultured bacterium. Its description in RNAcentral is "partial 16S ribosomal RNA". It matches the Rfam family "Bacterial small subunit ribosomal RNA", at positions 338 to 730 of the family's 1533-position model. The record is from RNAcentral.